AUUCAAGUGGCUUAUAUUUAAGAGCAUUGUAUUGAAGAUACAAAGGAGAAUUAUUUCCUUGAAUA
This 65-nucleotide transfer RNA is filed under the name Ruidocollaris convexipennis. RNAcentral describes it as "tRNA-Phe". The record is from RNAcentral. Lineage: Eukaryota; Metazoa; Arthropoda; Insecta; Orthoptera; Tettigoniidae.